Molecule: transfer RNA, 78 nt
Filed under: Candidatus Cryptobacteroides excrementavium
Lineage: Bacteria; Pseudomonadati; Bacteroidota; Bacteroidia; Bacteroidales
Description: tRNA-Lys
Rfam family: tRNA
About the family: Transfer RNA (tRNA) molecules are approximately 80 nucleotides in length. Their secondary structure includes four short double-helical elements and three loops (D, anti-codon, and T loops).
Source: RNAcentral
GCUUCCUUAGCUCAGUUGGUAGAGCACGACACUCUUAAUGUUGGGGGGUCCAGGGUUCGAGCCCCUGAGGGAGCACCA